GUUCGUCAAGUAUAAAUUCACAGUUCAGCAUAUUAAGGGAAAAUAUAACUUAGUUCCAGAUCUUCUAUCUAGACCUAAGGAACUUCACCUCAUCAAAGUCACACUUCGCAUUUCCCUUAAUACUCAUGGCUUAAUCCUCUUCCCCAAACACUCCUAGCUAUCUCGUCCCUGCUCCAUAUAGUUUUCCGUUUAGUUGCUCUCCUAACCAGCCCAAUUCGCUAAGGAUCACCUGUUUCAUUAUCUGAGUGCUAGGAAUACCCUGAGAGGAUUACUCCCCUCCUCAUCCACCUUUAUUCCUAACAACCCAUUUCUCACAUGUUUCAGCAUCCAUCCUGACAGAGACCUUAUCCUUGAAGAAUUAUGGCUCCUUUGGUGCAUGAUAACUUUAUAUUCUACUGGUAUAGAGUUUCCCCUCCUAUCACUGUACCAACACACCCUCGACAGAGCAAACAGGACUCUCUUGUUUAGGUUCCUGGAGUGGUUUAAGCCCAUUUUAGCAUGACAAUACACUCUCAGGCGACUAAUAGAAACCCAUGGAGUCGAAGAAAGGCCCAUUA
This 557-nucleotide unclassified non-coding RNA is filed under the name Hevea brasiliensis (rubber tree). The record is from RNAcentral. Lineage: Eukaryota; Viridiplantae; Streptophyta; Magnoliopsida; Malpighiales; Euphorbiaceae.